AACUCUUGACAUCCAGAGAAGAGGCUAGAGAUAGCUUUGUGCCUUCGGGAGCUCUGAGACAGGUGCUGCAUGGCUGUCGUCAGCUCGUGUUGUGAAAUGUUGGGUUAAGUCCCGUAACGAGCGCAACCCUUGCCCUUAGUUGUCAGCGAGUUAAGUCGGAUACUUUAAGGAGACUGCCGGAGACGAGCCGGAAGAAGGUGGAGAUGACGUCAAGUCAGCAUGGCCUUUAUGUCCAGGGCUACACACGUGCUACAAUGGGUGGUACAGAGGGAAGCUAAGCCGAGAGGUGGAGCGUAUCCAAAAAGCCAUCCCCAGUUCGGAUUGGAGUCUGCAAUUCGACUCCAUGAAGUUGGAAUUGCUAGUAAUCGCAGAUCAACUACGCUGCGGUGAAUGCGUUCUCGGCUCU
Molecule: ribosomal RNA, 406 nt
Filed under: uncultured bacterium
Lineage: Bacteria
Description: bacterial SSU rRNA
Rfam family: Bacterial small subunit ribosomal RNA
Source: RNAcentral